Anser brachyrhynchus (Pink-footed goose) is the source of this 1667-nucleotide long non-coding RNA. The record is from Ensembl. NCBI's taxonomy places the organism in Eukaryota, Metazoa, Chordata, Aves, Anseriformes, Anatidae.
UUGCAGCUGAAUCUAAAAUACAGACAAAAAAGUGAACUCCCUCUGGCAGACAGGAUUCAUUUUCUGCAAGGGGAUUUCAUUUGGUUGUGCACAAAAUAUGUACUGCCCAUGUAAUAUUUUGUGAAAGUUGCCCAUGUACAAAUGAAGACUGAAAAAUAGUUUCCUCAGAAAAACUUAAUGUUUAAAAGAAGGACUAGAAGGAAAUUCUGAUUGCAUGGAUGUGAUUUUUUCCUUUUUUUUUUUUUUUUUAAGUUUUCAUCUUCAAUUUUCCAAAAAAUAGGCUGCCCAGGUGAGUGAGAUCUAACCAAAAAUAUAAGAAAAUACCACAGUAAUAAUGAUCUUCUACUAUUUUUUAUAGUGCUUUUUCAGUUACUGUUUUUUGAAACAUAUCUUUAUUUUUUGGAACAUAGAUGGUACCACUAGUGUCAAUUCCUUUGUGAAAUGGAUUUCCAAUAUAAUUGUGAAGUGAAAUGGAAAAACAAGAAAACAAGGACAGGAUGCUUACUGCUCAACUGACAGACAUUCACACAGCUUGAAAGGAAAGGAAAUACAGCAAAUCCACUUCCUAUUUGAGUCAAACCAUAGUGCUAAAAAAAGAACCAGAGAUAAUAACAGCAAACUAUGCCAUAAAAGAAGAAGUAUAGUUUGGAGCGUCAGUCUGUGCUGAAAUACACCAAGUCUUCUCCACUACCUCAUACAGUUCUGCAUUCAUGAAAGCCAUGUUAACCAUGUCUGACAAAAACAAUUUAGAAAACAAUCAACUGCUUCAGCUUACAAGAAGAACUAAAUAGUGCUCAACUCCAAGAUAAUAAGAAUUGUUAAAAAAAAAAACACGAAACAAAACAACGCUAUCCCUAGUUCUUCUCUUGGUUUGGCAGAAUGCCAAAUUUGCAUGCUGUGGGGGUUUAAGAAGCUUUAAAUUAUAAAGACUAACUAUGUUUUAGCUAGUGCUUUUUAUCCAUGAUCAGGAUUCCACACUCUCUGGUACAGUGUAUAAGAUUUAUAUUCUAAGUAUAUUAAUAAUUACCGUUGGAAGGCUGAGAGGCACAAACUUCACGUGCAGUUGGCAAUGUUGUGAAAUCAGUUAAGACAAGAUUUUUAAGAGCAUAGUAUCUCACUGGGGCUGUGCUGCAUGGGGCAAGAGGCCCUUUGUUACUAGUUACGUUGAAUUUUGACAAUGAAUUAGUUUGCUCUUAAGGGGGCUGAGGAUGGCAUUGUACUUCACUCUUGCAAUGUAAAUUCAGGAAAAAGUAAAACUUUUGCUUUCUAUUAUAAAUUUUAUGGCCCACUUUUGAGUUGUACCUAGGUGAAAUUAUUGUAAAGAGUGUUUUCUCAGCAGCCAAAUUACUACUACUGCAGUGAAACAAUUCUGUUCCAAGCCUAGGAAGUACAGAUAAGAAAAAAAAUAGAAACAUUAAUCUAAACUUUGUGGUUCAAUAAUUCUGUAGUUGCAAUUCCACCUUCCUUUUUUUUUUUUUUUUUAAUUAUUUAUUGUUUUGGUGAGCUAAUUCAUCCAUAUCGGGUGUUAUAUCAGUUCUGAAUAGGCUGAAGUCGCUGUAGUUUAUAACACUCUCACAGGGGUUUCUGAACCUUUUAAAUCUGUGGUAAGAGAGGCAGUGGUAGUGUAGCUACAUGCUAGCUGUACGUGAAUAGAGAACUAUUAUGCA